This 584-nucleotide ribosomal RNA is filed under the name uncultured bacterium. Its description in RNAcentral is "partial 16S ribosomal RNA". It matches the Rfam family "Bacterial small subunit ribosomal RNA", at positions 355 to 937 of the family's 1533-position model. The record is from RNAcentral.
UGGGGAAUUUUGGACAAUGGGCGAAAGCCUGAUCCAGCAAUGCCGCGUGUGUGAAGAAGGCCUUCGGGUUGUAAAGCACUUUUGUCCGGAAAGAAAUCCUUGGCUCUAAUACAGUCGGGGGAUGACGGUACCGGAAGAAUAAGCACCGGCUAACUACGUGCCAGCAGCCGCGGUAAUACGCAGGGUGCAAGCGUUAAUCGGAAUUACUGGGCGUAAAGCGUGCGCAGGCGGUUUGCUAAGACCGAUGUGAAAUCCCCGGGCUCAACCUGGGAACUGCAUUGGUGACUGGCAGGCUAGAGUAUGGCAGAGGGGGGUAGAAUUCCACGUGUAGCAGUGAAAUGCGUAGAGAUGUGGAGGAAUACCGAUGGCGAAGGCAGCCCCCUGGGCCAAUACUGACGCUCAUGCACGAAAGCGUGGGGAGCAAACAGGAUUAGAUACCCUGGUAGUCCACGCCCUAAACGAUGUCAACUAGUUGUUGGGGAUUCAUUUCCUUAGUAACGUAGCUAACGCGUGAAGUUGACCGCCUGGGGAGUACGGUCGCAAGAUUAAAACUCAAAGGAAUUGACGGGGUCAUAGCUGUUUCC